GGGAAGCUGAAAGGCUUGCGCGCUGGGUAAAAGGGACGCAAUCAAUUUUCCAAAUUCCAAUUUUUAUCAUCAUCACAAUACCCACAUGGACAGCCUGUGCCCAACUCCCUUUUGUUUUGAUGCUUAUCAAGCUAGGCUUAGGCAAUAAAAUAGACUACCAAAAUUAACAUAAUCUUUCCUCGCCAUAAUUUCAACAGCAGCACCAUUCCAUUAACCCAAUUGAAAGCUCAGGCCCUUCUUGUUUUCCGGAGUGGGGUGGAACCUGCAAAAGUUCCCAAUACUCGUGCCAACUUUUGUCCCUCACUUUCUACCCACCAGAUUUUCUGUUUUUUUCUUUUUCUUGUAAAAUAAUCAUACCCCAUAAAGAAAUCUAAGUUACAGUAGUGCUGAAUGUGUUUAAUUUUGCUAUGGAGGUGUGUCUCUUCUCUUUUCUUCUUCUUCUUCUUAUUCUUUUGUUUGCUCAUGCCCAUUGCAAAUCAGAUAUUCACCUUGGCUACAGAGUUGCCCUUGCUUUUCCUGUUGAGUACAGCGUGGGAUUCAUUGGGAGAGCUUUUUUGAUGGAGACGAACCAAAUGGAGCCCAAUUUUAAGGCUGCAUUGAGUGUGGAACCAAUUGAUGGAAAAUAUUCGUGUUCCUUGGAAGUUUUUCUUGGUGAUGUGAAGGUCUGGAAUUCUGGUCAUUACUCUCCAUUUUUCACGUCAGAAAGGUGCGUGCUUGAGCUAACCAAGCAAGGGGAUUUGCAGUUGAAGGGAGAGAAAGAGAGAGUGGGAUGGCGAACUGGGACUUCUGGACAAGGUGUGGAGAUAUUAAAGAUACUGGGAACGGGUAAUCUAGUCCUGGUGGAUGCCCUGAACCUUACAAAGUGGCAGAGCUUCAACUUUCCAACCGACGUAAUGCUAAGGGGACAGAGACUAAAUGUGGCCACUCGCUUGACUUCCUUCCCCACCAACUCAACUGCUUUCUAUUCCUUGGAAAUUCAAUACAACAAGAUUGCUCUCUACCUGAAUUCGGGUCGGUGGAACUAUUCUUACUGGGAAUUUAAGCCUUCCAAGAACAGAAACAUCACCUUUGCUGAAUUAGGCUCAAAAGGGUUAGCGUUAUUCAAUGAUAACCAUCACAAGAUGGCGAAGAUCUCGUUGUCGAAAAGGAUUCACCAUCCCCUGGGAUUUUUAGCUCUGGGCAAUAAAACAGGAAACUUGGGGCUCUAUUUUUACUCGCCUGACAAGCAAAGGUUUGAGGCAGCGUUUCAAGCGCUAAACACCACAUGUGAUCUUCCUCUAUCAUGCAAACCUUACGGUAUUUGUACAUUCUAUGGUACUUGUUCAUGUAUCCAAUUUCUAACAAAUGAAAAGGGGAUGGGUUCUGAUUGUAGCGAUGGUUUUUCCGGUGGGUUCUGUGGAAGAGGUGAGGUAGAAAUGCGGGAAUUAUAUGGCGUUAGCAGCGUUCUAAGGGCUGCUCCUACAAAGCUCAAUAUUAGCAAGGUAGCUUGUGCAAAAUUUUGCCUGCAAAACUGUAAAUGUGUUGCUGCAUUAUACUCCUCUGAGGAGUUAAGAGAAUGCCACCUUUAUGGAGUAGUGAUGGGUGUCAAACAGGUGGAGAGGGGAACAAGAUGGAGUUACAUGGUAAAGGUUCAAAAAGGAAGCUAUGUUGGUCAUGAGAAUUCUGGAUUGAAGAAAUGGGUUUUGGCUAUGGUGGGACUGAUUGAUAGUUUGGUUAUUUUGCUUGUUUUUGGGGGGUUUGCCUAUUAUUUGAUUCGAAAGAGAAGAAAGAACACUGCCACCACAGCUGAUAACACCACCUAAAACUGCCUAUGGAAGGGCGAUUCUAAGUUUCUGCGAUGAGAAUUGCAAUUUUACCUUUUCUUUUCCUUUAUACCCUUGUUUAAACAGACAAGGAUUACGAUUUUUGAUGUCUUCUGCAUUUUAUGUUUGAUCAUUCAUAUUGCAGAAAUCGAAUUUUAUGUUUUUAAGCAAUGCUGGAUUUGUCUUUGGGUUUGGGUUUGAAAUGUUAGUUCGAGCACAGAGCAAGAACAUUCUGGCCCAAUUUAUAGAGAAUUUUCCAAUCCUUAAUUUGGGCUGAGUCCCUUCGCAUUCGCAGUUUUCAAUUCAAGGAUCCAAAUUUACAUAUAUUGGGCUUUGGGUUUUAGGGGGUGUUUGGUUUACCUG
RNAcentral lists this unclassified non-coding RNA (2165 nucleotides) under Hevea brasiliensis (rubber tree). The record is from RNAcentral. Lineage: Eukaryota; Viridiplantae; Streptophyta; Magnoliopsida; Malpighiales; Euphorbiaceae.